RNAcentral lists this transfer RNA (73 nucleotides) under Ventosimonas gracilis. It matches the Rfam family "tRNA". Rfam says of the family: Transfer RNA (tRNA) molecules are approximately 80 nucleotides in length. Their secondary structure includes four short double-helical elements and three loops (D, anti-codon, and T loops). Further hydrogen bonds mediate the characteristic L-shaped molecular structure. tRNAs have two regions of fundamental functional importance: the anti-codon, which is responsible for specific mRNA codon recognition, and the 3' end, to which the tRNAs corresponding amino acid is attached (by aminoacyl-tRNA synthetases). tRNAs cope with the degeneracy of the genetic code in two manners: having more than one tRNA (with a specific anti-codon) for a particular amino acid; and 'wobble' base-pairing, i.e. permitting non-standard base-pairing at the 3rd anti-codon position. The record is from Rfam by way of RNAcentral. Lineage: Bacteria; Pseudomonadati; Pseudomonadota; Gammaproteobacteria; Pseudomonadales; Ventosimonadaceae.
GCCGGUAUAGCUCAGCAGGUAGAGCAACUGAUUUGUAAUCAGUAGGUCCCGGGUUCGAUUCCUGGUGCCGGCA